This 158-nucleotide small nuclear RNA is filed under the name Solanum pimpinellifolium. RNAcentral's name for it is "U2 spliceosomal RNA". It matches the Rfam family "U2 spliceosomal RNA". Rfam says of the family: U2 is a small nuclear RNA (snRNA) component of the spliceosome (involved in pre-mRNA splicing). Complementary binding between U2 snRNA (in an area lying towards the 5' end but 3' to hairpin I) and the branchpoint sequence (BPS) of the intron results the bulging out of an unpaired adenosine, on the BPS, which initiates a nucleophilic attack at the intronic 5' splice site, thus starting the first of two transesterification reactions that mediate splicing. Lineage: Eukaryota; Viridiplantae; Streptophyta; Magnoliopsida; Solanales; Solanaceae. The record is from RNAcentral.
AUAUCUUUCUCGGUCUUGUGGCUAAGAUCAAGUGUAACAUCUGUUCUUAUCAGAUAUAUGAAUUCUCCGUCUACACAUGAUAUUAACUCAUUUUUCAAAAAGGGGAAGACUCACUCCCUAUUGAACGAAUGAAGAACUUGUGUUCUAUCGAACAGUUU